UGGGUGGUUGACGUGACGCUCAAUUUUUGUGUCCACAGUGACAAAAUAACUAAAAUUUUAUAAUAUUUAAUUAAAAUUCAUGUUUUUUAUAUGCAUUUCAUUCUUCUACAUCUAAUCCAUCUGCAAACAAUGAGUAUUGUUCUUCAACUAUGCAAAUAUUCUGCUUUGAACAUGCCAUUUGUCCACCGGUGCAACUGUCCACGGUAGAAUUACUUAUCUUAAAACGUCUGUAAUUUAAUGAGAAAUUAAUCUAAAUACAUUAAAAUACUUGAAUGCAUGUCAUACGAGUGUUUACUUAAUGAAUCUAGAGGUUAUAAGUGUUAAGGUCCCUAUGUAGAGUUAUUAUGACACAUUACAUUUUGUCCACAAAACUGGUGUCCUCCUGGAGCAACGGCAUUAUGUAGAUAUAAAACAGACAUUAAUGUGACCACCCCAUUACUGAGAGGGGUCCUUCCAGAACCAGGAAGUACAGAAGACAUCACUGGAGCACAUGGACUGUACACAAGCUAGUUUGAUUUCCAAAGAGAGAGGCUGAAAUGACCACCAAGGAAAGGUCCAGGAAGUUUAGGGAGAGGCUGAAUGCGGAUUCUGAGAGGAAAGAGAACUUGCUGAGAGAGAGACGCAGAAAAUAUCAGCAGAAGAAAGCAUGCGGGAAAAUCGUUCAGCCAAGCGUGAAGUCCGUGUCGCCAGCAACACAGAAGAAGCUACAAGAGAAAUGGAGAGAGUCAAAGCGGAGAUGUAGGGCAAGGGAAAAAGCCACUAAUGCUGUCCUUGAUCUUACGCCACAAUCACCUCAGGAUCAUGACGAAGAGAUCAAUGACCCCCCAGUGGCAAGGCCAGUUAUCAAUGGAGCCUCAGUGGCAAGGCCGGUUCUGCAUGAAGUGAUCAAUGCUGUCCCAGUACCAGUACACGUUUUGUGUAGCACACCAGAGAAGUCCCCCCGAAACCAAAAUCCACCCAAAAAAAGAAGAAAAAAUAAAAUGACCAAAGAACUACGGAAACUACAAAAACAAAAUGAGAAAUUAAUGAAGGAACUUGAGGCUGAAAGAAGAAGAGUAAAUACAUUUAGGCGAAAGAAUCAACGCCUCGUGCAAAGACGGAAUAUGGAUAAACGUGCUAACAAAAAAACACAAACAAAGCGAGGAAACACUGGAAUUCAAUUAAAAAUAUAUAUUUUACCUGUGUUUUGACUGAAUUUAAAAUAAUAAAUUUGACUGUACACAACAUAGGCAUACUAGUAUUCUGUUGUCCAACGGUGCAACAAAAUGUCCUGCGGUGCGACAAAUUGAAUUGUGAGGGGAAAAGGUAUUUUAAUGAAAAAUGUAUGUAAAAAGUGUUGGAUAGUAUAACAAUGAUAUCAUCACUAUGCAGCUUUAAGGAUGAAAUGAAGAUUCCUUGAGUUUUAUACAAAUUAUAAUGAAUGUAACCCAGACAUUUGGGUUAAGUCUCUAUGUGUACAUCUUAUAGUAUAUAAAUAACAUAAUUCUGAAUUUGUUGGGGGUAUGUUUGAUGUGGAAAUAUAAUUGGGACAAACUAA
This is a long non-coding RNA of Eleginops maclovinus (Patagonian blennie), 1537 nucleotides long. RefSeq lists it as uncharacterized. Lineage: Eukaryota; Metazoa; Chordata; Actinopteri; Perciformes; Eleginopidae. The record is from RefSeq and is a predicted model, not a curated record. The transcript is spliced from 3 exons.